RNAcentral lists this ribosomal RNA (800 nucleotides) under Halomonas sp. RNAcentral's name for it is "bacterial SSU rRNA". It matches the Rfam family "Bacterial small subunit ribosomal RNA", at positions 54 to 851 of the family's 1533-position model. Lineage: Bacteria; Pseudomonadati; Pseudomonadota; Gammaproteobacteria; Oceanospirillales; Halomonadaceae. The record is from RNAcentral.
CAUGCAAGUCGAGCGGUAACAGAUCCAGCUUGCUGGAUGCUGACGAGCGGCGGACGGGUGAGUAAUGCAUAGGAAUCUGCCCGAUAGUGGGGGAUAACCUGGGGAAACCCAGGCUAAUACCGCAUACGUCCUACGGGAGAAAGGGGGCUCCGGCUCCCGCUAUGGGAUGAGCCUAUGUCGGAUUAGCUAGUUGGUGAGGUAACGGCUCACCAAGGCGACGAUCCGUAGCUGGUCUGAGAGGAUGAUCAGCCACAUCGGGACUGAGACACGGCCCGAACUCCUACGGGAGGCAGCAGUGGGGAAUAUUGGACAAUGGGGGAAACCCUGAUCCAGCCAUGCCGCGUGUGUGAAGAAGGCCCUCGGGUUGUAAAGCACUUUCAGCGAGGAAGAACGCCUAGCGGUUAAUACCCGCUAGGAAAGACAUCACUCGCAGAAGAAGCACCGGCUAACUCCGUGCCAGCAGCCGCGGUAAUACGGAGGGUGCAAGCGUUAAUCGGAAUUACUGGGCGUAAAGCGCGCGUAGGUGGCUUGAUAAGCCGGUUGUGAAAGCCCCGGGCUCAACCUGGGAACGGCAUCCGGAACUGUCAAGCUAGAGUGCAGGAGAGGAAGGUAGAAUUCCCGGUGUAGCGGUGAAAUGCGUAGAGAUCGGGAGGAAUACCAGUGGCGAAGGCGGCCUUCUGGACUGACACUGACACUGAGGUGCGAAAGCGUGGGUAGCAAACAGGAUUAGAUACCCUGGUAGUCCACGCCGUAAACGAUGUCGACCAGCCGUUGGGUGCCUAGCGCACUUUGUGGCGAAG